GGAGUCUGCAACUCGACUCCACGAAGGCGGAAUCGCUAGUAAUCGCGAAUCAGCAUGUCGCGGUGAAUACGUUCCCGGGUCUUGUACACACCGCCCGUCAAAUCAUGGGAGUCGGAAGUACCCAAAGUCGCUUGGCUAACUUUUAGAGGCCGGUGCCUAAGGUAAAAUCGAUGACUGGGAUUAAGUCGUAACAAGGUAGCCGUAGGAGAACCUGCGGCUGGAUCACCUCCUUUCUAAGGA
This 240-nucleotide ribosomal RNA is filed under the name Oenococcus oeni. RNAcentral describes it as "partial 16S ribosomal RNA". It matches the Rfam family "Bacterial small subunit ribosomal RNA", at positions 1300 to 1533 of the family's 1533-position model. The record is from RNAcentral. Lineage: Bacteria; Bacillati; Bacillota; Bacilli; Lactobacillales; Lactobacillaceae.